GGGCGUAGCGGGCCGGGGAAGGGGGGAAGGCGGGAAGGUGGCAGGGUGCGCUGACCGCCUUCCUCGUCCGCUUCGCCCAACUUUCCCACCUUCGGGGUCGGCAGGUGGUCUUUUUCACUGUAAGGAGGGAGUGGAGGAGGGAGAUCAACAUCUUGACAAGACAAUUCAGGAGUGCUCCAAGGACAACUAUACUGAAACAGCCUAGGAGCAGGAGAAGACACCUAUUGCAAAGGAAUGAUGAAGGCAACUUCCAUCAUGUAGAUUUUUCCAUCUGCAGAG
Long non-coding RNA from Empidonax traillii (willow flycatcher), 279 nucleotides. RefSeq lists it as uncharacterized. The record is from RefSeq and is a predicted model, not a curated record. NCBI's taxonomy places the organism in Eukaryota, Metazoa, Chordata, Aves, Passeriformes, Tyrannidae. The transcript has 3 exons.